This 685-nucleotide ribosomal RNA is filed under the name Sarcocystis tenella. RNAcentral describes it as "SSU rRNA". It matches the Rfam family "Eukaryotic small subunit ribosomal RNA", at positions 248 to 895 of the family's 1831-position model. The record is from RNAcentral. Lineage: Eukaryota; Apicomplexa; Conoidasida; Eucoccidiorida; Sarcocystidae.
GAUUCAUAGUAACCGAACGGAUCGCAUUAUGGUCAUUCUUUUGUAAUGGCUGGCGAUAGAUCAUUCAAGUUUCUGACCUAUCAGCUUUCGACGGUAGUGUAUUGGACUACCGUGGCAGUGACGGGUAACGGGGAAUUAGGGUUCGAUUCCGGAGAGGGAGCCUGAGAAACGGCUACCACAUCUAAGGAAGGCAGCAGGCGCGCAAAUUACCCAAUCCUGACUCAGGGAGGUAGUGACAAGAAAUAACAACACUGGAAAUUUUAUUUCUAGUGAUUGGAAUGAUGGGAAUUUAAACCCCUUUCAGAGUAACAAUUGGAGGGCAAGUCUGGUGCCAGCAGCCGCGGUAAUUCCAGCUCCAAUAGCGUAUAUUAAAGUUGUUGCAGUUAAAAAGCUCGUAGUUGGAUGUCUGCUGGAAGCAAUCAGUCCGCCCUAUUUGUAGGGUGUGCACUUGAUGAAUUCUGGCAUUUUUGUCCCAAUGAUGUAACGGGGCGGUGGUAUUCGGUGAAAGCCGAGUAUCCUGUUUUCCGAUUAUUGGGAUACUGUUACUUUGAGAAAAUUAGAGUGUUUGAAGCAGGCUAAUUGCCUUGAAUACUGCAGCAUGGAAUAACAAUAUAGGAUUUCGGUUCUAUUUUGUUGGUUUCUAGGACUGAAAUAAUGAUUAAUAGGGACAGUUGGGGGCAUUCGU